UCGCGGUCAUGGAUAUAGCUAGUGUCAUCAAUGUUGAUUUCCGUCAUUCUUGGACGGAGUGAUCUCCAGCGCCUUGAGAGAAGGGAUGUGACCAUGAUUUGUUUUGCAGGCAAAAGAGAUAGGAUGCGACAUAGCAGUUCAUCAGGUAAAAUACUGAUUCUAUCUGCAUUUGGCAUCCCUAGCCAGACUCGCCUCCAUCGCUUUGAGAGAAGGCUUGUGCUCGGGAAUUCCUCUGAGGGUAAAAAUGACAGGAUUUCACAUAGCAAUUCAUCGGGUAAACCACUCAUCCUAUCUUCUUCUGCCAUCAUAGUUUGAUUAAUUGAUCAAAGAACAAAACAAAAGAAGGAAUAAAACUUUGUUUGUUACCUUUGGGAUUGGGAUUGGGAUUAGGAUUGCGAUUGCUAUGCUGGCUAGGGUUAAAGGAAGGAAGUCGAGGAAGAAGAAGAGGAAUGAUUGACUUUGUUAUGUAUUUCUGGAUUUAUUGGCCUUUUACUAUUUUAUUUCUCUCUUGGGACGGGCCUGUGGCCUAUACAAUCUUGGAAGAUUUCUUUUUAGAAAAUUGUUGUUCCCACUUGAAACAAGCUAGAAAAUACCAAUAAAUGACCUAAAUAUCCUUUGGUAGUUAACUUGCGGUUGUUACUGCCGUGCUGCGGAGUUAAUUAGUAGUUAACUGCCUAUGCGAUUUCUGCUACAAAUCUCAGGCAGAACCAUUACUCUCUCAUCCAUUGUCACUCUCAACUCAAAAUUUCUCUCAAAAUCUCAUCUAAAUUUAUUCAACAGAAUCACAAGUAAGUAAUCAUGGUGUUAUUAACCCAAAUUCUAGUUGUUAUAAUUGUUUUUCAUUUUUUUUUAAUUUUAGUUUUAGGUUAAUUUAAAUUUUGUUGUUUUUAUUUUAAAAAAAAAAAAACAAUCAAAUGUUUACAAGUAAGAUAUUAUGAUUCAUUUUUAGAGUAGAUUUAAGUUGAUUAAGUAUGUUUGCAAGUUUAUGUUGUAGUUUUGAGUUUUAGUGUUUAUGUAUAAUUUGCACUCCAAGUGUUUAAUGAAAUGUUUGAAUGAGUUUUUCAUUAAUUGUUUAAUUUCUUAUGGUGUAGAUCUGAAACAACGGACAAUUUGUUCAGUGCUCAAGUACGCUUCAACGGUGGAAACCCUUAUUUGUCCAAGGUCCGGGUCAAUGUCACGCUAAAGGAUCUGAAGGAACAACUGAAUGAAAUCAAUCAAGGCCUCAACCCUGGAGACGCAAGGAGGGUGGAGGACCUUUAGUAUGCAUGUCCCGGUUAUUUGCAAUCAGAAAAGAUAAUAUGCAAGUGCUUUGAUUUUAAAUUGUUUUUCUUUUCUUCUCUUUUUUGAUCAAAUGCUUGUUUGUUGAAUAUGUAGUAUGUUUUUUAUUCUUAAUUGUAUGCAUCUACCAUGUGAUAGGCUUCUUAGCUAGGUAUGGGGGAUUUAUUAUCAAUUAGCAACCGUGUGUGAGAUGAGAUUAAAUUCUUGCAAUCGACCUAAUUAUGUACUCAGUCUCCCAAAAAGAGAAGGCCACAACUGACUGUUUCUUUGAACACCAAUAAUUUGGUGCAGCUAACAAGGAUCAUAAGUCAUCCUAUCAACCUUAUGUCCAAAGCAGUCUGCACCAGAAAAUUCCAGCAAGCUUACAACCAUAAAUUUAGAUUCAUUUUAAGUACCCUUGUUUCUCUUUUGGCAUCCAUCAGUUGAGACCUUCUAUUGAUUUAUCCAACUGUAAAACAAAUAUAAAGUUUGUUUAUUGUAUAGGUACCUUGUAGAGCCAACUACUUUCUUGACAAUGUUGAAACCACCUUCUCUUUAAUUGUCUUUUCAAGGUUCAUGUACACAUCAAAUAAAAUUUUGUCAACACUUCUCAAGCAUAAUUCUUUUGAUGUUACCACGCUAUUAGGAAAUCAUUUGUAAUCUAAAUAUCUGGCUCUCAACUGUAGUUCUCUUUAAAUGAAUGUGAAAUGGUGUUUUCUCCCAACUAAUAUGAAUGAUAUGAUACAAGCUUAAACUUAGAAGACCACAAAAUACAUUUGUCUUUUUAAUACAACCACAUCUCUUAAUAAAAAAAGAGACAACGUUGACAGAAUCAUUUAUUUAAAAACAAAUCCACUCCUUCAAGUAGUACAUCCCCCAAAUCAAACAAGUACUGUCAAAAGUAAAUCAAACUCAAAGCUCUUCUAAUCAUGAAUACUAAUACCAUUUAAACUUUAACCAUUCCAAUAUAAAAUUUAAGCACUUUUAUUCAACUACUACGUUCAUUGCAAAAUAUGCUCUCUUGACAGUUAUUCAUGUCAUUGUACUAACUUCUUCACAGUAUCUUAAAAUUCAUUCAUUCUUGAAUAAAACCUCACAUUCUAAUGUCACUACUGCUCAUUCUUGACAGGUCUACACAAUUUUUACUCCACAGCUCCAUAGCCUCCAUUCACCUCUAUUCAUACGCACUUUGUUUUCUUUAUUUACUUGUCCAAACAGUCCUUACAUAUGUGCUUCUGAUCUACACCUCAACUCCUAUACAUCCCAGUAUUAUCCUUUCAUGCAUGUGGAAACAAAAGGCAGACUAGAGUAUUCAUACAGGAAUUGCAUAUUUGCACUAGUUUGAUUAAUGCCUUCUUUCACCUCUGAAAUCCCAUAAUAAUUUUGACAUUCAACCAGCUCUGCACCAUCAGUUUUACCUUUUUUGUCACGCCUCUCAACUUCCGCAUCUUGAUUUCGGAUAAUCAUGUUAUUCCUUGCCUUCCAUAUAAUGAAGUCAUCCCCCGUUGCUCUGCUCCAUUGUCUUUCCAUCGUUUACCAAUCCUGCAAACUGUUUUAUCAUUUCAUUACAAUCAUUUGAAAGUGAAGACUCAAUUCCAAGCCAAUGCAGUUGCUCUAUUUAUGCAUCCGAGUGUACAGACUUACAUAUUCCAUCCUAAUAUCAUCUCUAACAACCUAAACUAUCCUCUCACUAACUAACUGCCUAAUUUCCCUUCUCUCUAAUCCUAAAACUAAGCAGCUAGCAGUAUUCAUACCUAACUUGUACACAAGUUGGGCAUGGUGGAUAUCUAUUUAGUUAGCAUUCACCAUCUUGAGGGAUGUUCAUUUUUUGCCGUAGAAGAAAGAGGAGGAGGAUAUUGCCGCUUACCUCACUCUAUGCCACAUCCUAACAUAAAUUUCCAAAGGGAUGGGAUACAAAGUUUGAGCCCAGAAUUGGGUCCGAACAAAAAUUGUCCAAUUGCUAGAAUUAUGAUAAAAUCCAAAUUAUCUAACUAAUGAAUUAGAAUCAAAUUUUUGUCGCAAUUUUUUUCCAUUUGUAUUUUCCAUGUUUUCAUGUAGAUAAAUCAACAAUUAUGUUGUAGCACAGUAAGAGUGAGAAAGAGUAUUAUCUGUUCUCCAAAUAAAAUAAACCCUAUCGCUAAAUAUUAUAACAUGAAAUCGUUUACUCCUUAAAAUCCUGUAGAAUAGAUACACACAAAGAAGAUCAAGUAGCACAAUCAAAUAAUUAAUAUUGGGAAAAAGAGCAGCAGUGUCAUUCUUUGAUCCAUUCAAAAUGAAGUUGGUGGGGAAUGGAAUCCUCGAGUAAUUCUUUGAUGAUUUGGAGGUCCUUGGGUGGAUUUGAAGAGGUAUUUGUGUAGAUGGUGACGUUGCGCAAGAGAGUUGCAUUUUGGACAACAUAUUUGGUGAAUUGAAGCUCGCUUAGGUUGCCUCCGUAAUUAAUAAAAGAGAACAUUUGUAGAUGUGAUGAAAUGCAUUGGGGGACAAAGUGUGGAUGCGGCCAAUUAUUAUUGUGAUCAUCAUAGCCUCCUCCAAUCUUGCCGCGAAUGAUGAGAGUUUGAAGAGAGGGGCAGGCACAGAUGAAUUUCAUUACGGAAAUCCAAUAAUAUCCGUCAUGAAAGAUAAGGUCCAUGUGAGUUAAAUUGAGAAAUUGAGUGGUUGAAAAAUCUUGUUCUAGUGUUUGUAGCAGCACUUGUGACCGUAGAAACUGGACAUUGUAAAAGAGUUUCAGGGGCAGCAAAAAAGCAGAAAUAGAAGACUCAGAAACGUCGGCUCUGAGCAAUUUAGGGAAGGGUUUCAAUGCAGCAGCAUCAUCAUGAGCAAGAGUGUUGUCUGUAACUUGUAAAUCUUUCAAGAGCAGAUCCUCAAGAAGCAGAGACAUAGAGAGAAUCUUGAUGAGAAAUUUAAGCUUUAGAAAAUGCACUUGGGUCAAGUGAAGGAUUUUAAGGGAAGGCAAAUUAGUAGAAGAUCUAUGAACAUAGUCUAUAGUCAAGGCAUUCAACUUCAAAACAACUAGAGCUGUGGAAGUUAGAACCUUAUAUGGUACACAAAGGCAAAGGGUGGCGGAAGAAGUUACAUCGAGAUGUUGAACUUGAAGAUAAUCAAGCCAUAAAGGUAAGGGAUUAAAGAAGGGAGAUGCAGAGAGAAUAGUAACCGUUUUCAUGAUAGUAUGAUGGAUUUUCAUUUCAAACAAAAACAAGGCGAUGACAUGAUAAUAUCUGUCAUAAGCGUCGCGGUCAUGGAUAUAGCUAGUGUCAUCAAUGUUGAUUUCCGUCAUUCUUGGACGGAGUGAUCUCCAGCGCCUUGAGAGAAGGGAUGUGACCAUGAUUUGUUUUGCAGGCAAAAGAGAUAGGAUGCGACAUAGCAGUUCAUCAGGUAAAAUACUGAUUCUAUCUGCAUUUGGCAUCCCUAGCCAGACUCGCCUCCAUCGCUUUGAGAGAAGGCUUGUGCUCGGGAUUUCCUCUGAGGGUAAAAAUGACAGGAUUUCACAUAGCAAUUCAUCGGGUAAACCACUCAUCCUAUCUUCUUCUGCCAUCAUAGUUUGAUUAAUUGAUCAAAGAACAAAACAAAAGAAGGAAUAAAACUUUGUUUGUUACCUUUGGGAUUGGGAUUGGGAUUAGGAUUGCGAUUGCUAUACUGGCUAGGGUUAAAGGAAGGAAGUCGAGGAAGAAGAAGAGGACUGAUUGACUUUAUUAUGUAUUUCUGGAUUUAUUUAUUGGCCUUUUACUAUUUUAUUUCUCUCUUGAGACGGG
RNAcentral lists this long non-coding RNA (5006 nucleotides) under Medicago truncatula (barrel medic). RNAcentral's name for it is "long non-coding RNA (MTRU_LNC004782)". The record is from RNAcentral. Lineage: Eukaryota; Viridiplantae; Streptophyta; Magnoliopsida; Fabales; Fabaceae.